AUACGGAGGGUGCAAGCGUUAUCCGGAUUCAUUGGGUUUAAAGGGUGCGCAGGCGGAAUGAUAAGUCAGUGGUGAAAUCCUACAGCUUAACUGUAGAACUGCCAUUGAUACUGUCAUUCUUGAGUACACUUGAAGUGGGCGGAAUGUAUCAUGUAGCGGUGAAAUACAUAGAUAUGAUACAGAACUCCGAUAGCGAAGGCAGCUCACUAAAUUGUAACUGACGCUCAGGCACGAAAGCGUGGGGAGCAAACAGGAUUAGAUACCCUAGUAGUCC
Molecule: ribosomal RNA, 274 nt
Filed under: uncultured bacterium
Lineage: Bacteria
Description: partial 16S ribosomal RNA
Rfam family: Bacterial small subunit ribosomal RNA
Source: RNAcentral